RNAcentral lists this long non-coding RNA (462 nucleotides) under Carica papaya (papaya). RNAcentral's name for it is "long non-coding RNA (CPAP_LNC015734)". Lineage: Eukaryota; Viridiplantae; Streptophyta; Magnoliopsida; Brassicales; Caricaceae. The record is from RNAcentral.
CCUUAUGACCAAAUUGAAAAUGCUAAAAAUCCUCACCAUAAUCUCUAAAAUUCUACCAUUAACAACAAAUUAAUAGAAGUAGAAAAAUAAGAAAAACUAAGAUGCAUAAGAUCAGUAAAAUAUCAGCAAAAACUAUUAAACAUAAAAUUUACAAAAUAUCUGCAACAUAUUUUGACUAAUUCUUGAAUCAAUAUUCAACAAAGAUACGAUUCUUUCGCACGACCCCCUUCCUUUUCAGCAUCCGUUCUUUCUUCUUCUGUUGAUUACUUUUUCCUCUUCAGCUCGGUUUUUUUCCCUCUUCAGAGGCAUACAUUCCUCUUUUUGCUUCUGCCAUUUCUUUUUUUCUUUUGAUGUGGCUUCUGGAAUGGGCUAUUAUAGAUUUGGGCGUGGACUUCUAUGAUAUGGGCUUUUGACUUCUUCUUCUUCUCUUUUCAACUUCUUUUUCCUCUUUUCUUCAACAAU